This 775-nucleotide ribosomal RNA is filed under the name uncultured Neocallimastigales. RNAcentral describes it as "partial large subunit ribosomal RNA". It matches the Rfam family "Eukaryotic large subunit ribosomal RNA", at positions 23 to 636 of the family's 3401-position model. Lineage: Eukaryota; Fungi; Neocallimastigomycota; Neocallimastigomycetes; Neocallimastigales. The record is from RNAcentral.
AGAGAUGUGUGAUGACGCAUAUCAAUAAGCGGAGGAAAAGAAACUAACAAGGAUUCCCUUAGUAACGGCGAGUGAAGCGGGAAGAGCUCAAAUUUGAAAUCUUCAAGGUUCUACCUUUACGAAUUGUAGUUUAAAGAAGUGUUUUCUGUUAGUGAGUGGCUAAAAGUUCUUUGGAAUAGGACAUCAUAGAGGGUGAGAAUCCCGUAUUUGGUCAUUCCUCCUAGCUGUUGUGAUACACUUUCAACGAGUCGGAUUGUUUGGGAAUGCAGUCCAAAAUGGGUGGUAAAUUUCAUCUAAAGCUAAAUAUUGGCGAGAGACCGAUAGCGAACAAGUACCGUGAGGGAAAGAUGAAAAGAACUUUGAAAAGAGAGUUAAACAGUACGUGAAAUUGUCAAAAGGGAAGCGUUUGACACCAGUGUUGUUUAGUUGAAAAUCAAUUAAAUAUUUUUCGAUUUUAAGUAGUAUUGACCUUAUCAGCUUGCUGCUUUUUUCUCGGAAAUUAUAUUAAUGCACUUUUCAGUUAACAAGUCAACAUCAAUUUCUUUUGUUGUAAAAAGGUAAGAGGAAGGUGGCUUGCGCUUCGGCUCAAGUGUUUAUAGCCUUUUACCCCUGCAAUCGGAGAGAUUGAGGUCUGCAGCGUAGAUCCUUCGGGGUUAGAUACAUUUGUGCUAAGCUAUAGCCUUGUAUAGACAACUUGUUGACUAUGCUCAGUCAUGUAGCUUACUCGCUUAUGCUAUUUUACCUACGCUUAGGAUGUUGACAGCAGUAUAGACUG